This is a non-coding RNA of Oryza sativa Japonica Group (Japanese rice), 2005 nucleotides long. The record is from RefSeq and is a predicted model, not a curated record. NCBI's taxonomy places the organism in Eukaryota, Viridiplantae, Streptophyta, Magnoliopsida, Poales, Poaceae.
CAACUUCCUUGAUUAACAUCGAUAACCUUAAACAAAUGAGCACACGAAGACCAACUGUCCCAGCGACACUCCUAUAUAAUCGGAUUCGAAUGCGCUGAAUUCACAUGUACACAACACCGUAUACUGUCCCUUCCGGUCAAAGUACACUGCCCGCUGACAGUGACCAGAGAUUCUACUCCAGCUUGCUACUCAUUUUCGAGGGUGUUGAUCAUGGAUCCGACCUCGGUGCCAUGGAGCUCCAUGGUGUACGGUCUCCUGGGGCUCGCGCUUCUGUGGCAGGUCCACCGGCUGCUGGUGCGGCUGUGGUGGCAGCCGCGGCGGCUGGAGCGGGCGCUGCGGGCGCAGGGCGUCCGUGGCACGUCCUACCGCUUCCUCACCGGCGACCUCAAGGACUACGGCCGGCUGAGCAAGGAGGCAUGGGCGAGGCCGCUGCCGCUGCGGUGCCACGACAUCGCGCCGCGCGUGGCGCCGUUCGUGCACCGGACCAUCGCGGAGCACGGCAAGGCGUGCCUCUCCUGGUUCGGCCCCAUCCCCAAGGUGACCAUCGCCGACGCCGAGAUAGCCAAGGACGUGCUGUCCAACAAGAUGGGCCACUUCGAGAAGCUCAAGUUCCCCGUGCUGUCGAAGCUGCUCGCCGACGGCGUGGCCAACUACGAGGGCGAGAAGUGGGCCAAGCACCGGCGGAUCCUCAACCCUGCCUUCCAUCUCGAGAAGCUCAAGCUCAUGCUGCCGGCGUUUUCUGCGUGCUGCGAAGAACUGGUCGGCAGAUGGGCGGCGUCUCUUGGUUCUGACGGUUCGAAUGAGAUCGAUGUUUGGCCGGAGAUGCAGAGCCUCACCGGAGAUGUCAUUUCUCGCACCGCAUUCGGCAGCAGCUACCUUGAAGGAAGAAGGAUUUUCCAGUUGCAGGCUGAGCAACAGGAGCUUUUCAUGGGUGCCAUUCAGAAGAUCUCCAUUCCAGGCUACAUGUCCUUGCCUACCAAAAACAACCGAAGGAUGUAUCAAAUUAAGAACGAGGUUGAAUCAAUUAUACGAGAUCUGGUCCAGAAAAGGAUGCAUGCUAUGAAAGAUGGCGAGAGAACCAAAGAUGAUUUGCUCGGGAUAUUACUAGAGUCAAGCACGAGGCAUGCAGACGAGAAUGGACAUUCAGGCCCGGGGAUGACCAUCGAAGAAGUGAUGGAAGAGUGCAAAGUGUUCUAUUUUGCAGGGAUGGAGACGACAGCGAUACUCCUCACAUGGACCAUGGUUGUGCUAAGCAUGCACCCAGAAUGGCAGCACCGUGCAAGGGAGGAGGUCCUAAGCCUAUUUCAGAAAAACAAACUUGAUUAUGAAGGCCUGAGCAAACUCAAAACGUGAGUGACGAUGAUACUUUACGAGGUUCUCCGCUUGUACCCGCCGGGAAUUGGGUUUGUCCGGCAAACAUACAAGGAGAUGGAGAUCGGUGGCGUCAAGUACCCUGCAGGCGUGAUGAUCGAGCUACCGUUGUUGUUCAUCCACCAUGACCCAGACAUCUGGGGGAGCGAUGUGAACGAGUUCAAACCGGAGAGGUUCGCCGAGGGGAUCUCCAGGGCGUCCAACGAUCAUGGCGCGUUCUUCCCGUUUGGCUGGGGCCCGAGGAUCUGCAUGGGCCAGAACUUCGCGCUGCUCGAGGCCAAGAUGGCGCUGUGUAUGAUUCUCCAGCGCUUCGAGUUCGAGCUAGCGCCGUCUUACACUCACGCUCCCCAUAUUGUGUUGAUGCUGCGUCCGAUGCAUGGGGCACCAAUUAAGCUUAGGGCAAUCUGAUCGUCGAUCUUGUGAUGUUCAUAUCAUGCAUUGUAGGCUUUUUUUUUAAAAAAAAUGGCAUGUUUGGUUUAUACCAAUCAACCAUGCCACCAAAAAAUAAUUUAGCCAUAUCAAUAAAUUAAUUCUCCAUUUAGUUUGUAAAGAAAAGGUAUUGUCAAAUAUUUGGUUUGAUUGAAUCGACACUUUAAAAAUAUAGCAAAACGAAUAUUUUGCAACUUCAUCAAAA